Molecule: ribosomal RNA, 357 nt
Filed under: uncultured bacterium
Lineage: Bacteria
Description: bacterial SSU rRNA
Rfam family: Bacterial small subunit ribosomal RNA
Source: RNAcentral
GUAGGGUGCGAGCGUUGUCCGGAAUCACUGGGCGUAAAGAGCUCGUAGGUGGUNUGUCGCGUCGUCUGUGAAAUUCCGGGGCUUAACUUCGGGCGUGCAGGCGAUACGGGCAUAACUUGAGUGCUGUAGGGGUAACUGGAAUUCCUGGUGUAGCGGUGAAAUGCGCAGAUAUCAGGAGGAACACCGAUGGCGAAGGCAGGUUACUGGGCAGUUACUGACGCUGAGGAGCGAAAGCAUGGGUAGCAAACAGGAUUAGAUACCCUGGUAGUCCAUGCCGUAAACGGUGGGCGCUAGGUGUAGGGGGCUUCCACGUCUUCUGUGCCGUAGCUAACGCAUUAAGCGCCCCGCCUGGGGAGU